RNAcentral lists this long non-coding RNA (1266 nucleotides) under Salmo salar (Atlantic salmon). Its description in RNAcentral is "lncRNA (ENSSSAG00000083780.1)". The record is from RNAcentral. Lineage: Eukaryota; Metazoa; Chordata; Actinopteri; Salmoniformes; Salmonidae.
GAGAGAGAGAGAGAGAGAGAGAGAGAGAGAGAGAGAGAGAGAGAGAGAGAGAGAGAGAGAGAGAGAGAGAGAGCUUUAUUAUGUUAUUCUUUAGACAUGGCCAGGUGAUGAAAGACAUGAGGAUGGACCUUUCCUUUUUUUUUUUUUUGGUGGAAAAAAAGUAGUUCUUCCACUUUCCUUCCUUUCUCAUAAAGUUGUUAUAAUUUCCAAUCAUCUCUUUGUACUGUGAAUCAAACACUGUGUUAGCACAGAAUGAAGAAUUACAAGAAUUUUAAAAGGGGGUUCUUUCUGUCAACAGAUAAAAUCGGUCUUAUUGUCUUGGUGUUGCUUUAAUUCACAGCAGUCGUCCCACAGUCUGUGCCUGCGUCCAAAACGGCGCCCUAUUCCCUUUUGUAGCGGAGGCACCCGGUCCAAAGUAGUGUACUAUAUAGGAAAUAGGAUGCAUGGUUUGGGAUGCAUGGUUUGUCAUAUUGUCUUUUAGUGGUGUGGCUUUAAUUCACGGUAGAGAGCAGUCCCUCAGCCAGUGUGACAUCAUCUCCUUAGAAACGGUUCGGUCGACGUUGAUCCUUCUCCAAACAAAUAGAGAGAUGGAUUGAUUAAAGCCACAUGACUUUAACUAGCAUGAGCAGAGAAAGGAGAUGAUUAGCUCACCAAUUUCCAAUACAAAUAGAAGCCCCUCCCCCUACACGUCCCCCCCCCGUCUCUUGUCUGUAUCAGAAUUUAAUGGACAUUACGUAGUUUUAUUCCAAUACAAAGAUAUAAACAGCCUUGAGAUUUAGCCUAGCAAUCAAUAUUUAAAUGGCCCAGUGCCGUGUGUACAAAUUUGGUAGAACACAUUCUGGGGGCAUUCUGGGAAAUAAAAACCCUGGAGUUCAGUGGAGGGAGAUGCUGAACUUGCUAAGGACAAGCCCUAAGGACUAGCCCUAAAGCCGUAAGGACUAGCCCUAAAGCCUUAAGGACUAGACUUAAGGACUAGCCCUAAACCCUAAGGACUAGCCCUAAGCCCUAAGGACUAGCCCUAAAGCCCUAAGGACUAGCCCUAAGCCCUAAGGACUAGCCCUAAAGCCCUAAGGACUAGCCCUAAAGCCUUAAGGACUAGCCUUAAGGACUAGCCCUAAGCCCUAAGGACUAGCCCUAAAGCCCUAAGGACUAGCCCUAAAGCCUUAAGGACUAGCCCUAAGCCCUAAGGACUAGCCCUAAGCCCUAAGGACUAGCCCUAAGCCCUAAGGACUAGCCCUAAAGCCUUAAGGACUAGCCCUAAAGCCU